CAGUCGCCGCGGGAAUACGUAGGGUGCGAGCGUUAAUCGGAAUUACUGGGCGUAAAGCGUGCGCAGGCGGUUCGUUAAGACAGAUGUGAAAUCCCCGGGCUUAACCUGGGAACUGCAUUUGUGACUGACGGGCUAGAGUAUGGCAGAGGGGGGUAGAAUUCAACGUGUAGCAGUGAAAUGCGUAGAGAUGUGGAGGAAUACCGAUGGCGAAGGCAGCCCCCUGGGCCAAUACUGACGCUCAUGCAAGAAAGCGUGGGGAGCAAACAGGAUUAGAUACCCCAGUAGUCCCUGUCUCUUAUAA
This 301-nucleotide ribosomal RNA is filed under the name uncultured bacterium. RNAcentral describes it as "partial 16S ribosomal RNA". It matches the Rfam family "Bacterial small subunit ribosomal RNA", at positions 509 to 809 of the family's 1533-position model. The record is from RNAcentral.